RNAcentral lists this ribosomal RNA (282 nucleotides) under uncultured prokaryote. RNAcentral describes it as "partial 16S ribosomal RNA". It matches the Rfam family "Bacterial small subunit ribosomal RNA", at positions 524 to 803 of the family's 1533-position model. The record is from RNAcentral.
GACGUAGGGGGCGAGCGUUGUCCGGAAUUACUGGGCGUAAAGAGCACGUAGGCGGGAACUUAAGUCAGGUGUGAAAGACCGUGGCUCAACCACGGGUAUGCAUUUGAAACUGGGUUUCUUGAGGGCAGGAGAGGAAAGCAGAAUUCCUGGUGUAGCGGUGAAAUGCGUAGAAAUCAGGAGGAAUACCAGUGGCGAAGGCGGCUUUCUGGACUGACCCUGACGCUGAGGUGCGAAAGCGUGGGUAGCAAACAGGAUUAGAUACCCCCGUAGUCCCUGAGCGGG